RNAcentral lists this ribosomal RNA (451 nucleotides) under uncultured bacterium. RNAcentral describes it as "partial 16S ribosomal RNA". It matches the Rfam family "Bacterial small subunit ribosomal RNA", at positions 29 to 523 of the family's 1533-position model. The record is from RNAcentral.
AACGAACGCUGGCGGCAGGCCUAACACAUGCAAGUCGAACGCUCUAGCAAUAGGGAGUGGCGCACGGGUGAGUAACGCGUAGGAAUCUACCCAUUAGCCUGGGAUAACAGCGGGAAACUGAUGCUAAUACCGGACACGCGCCUUCGGGGGGAAAUGUUUACUACUUAUGGAUGAGCCUGCGUUAGAUUAGCUAGUUGGUGAGGUAAUGGCGCACCAAUGCUCCGAUCUAUAGCCGGUCUUAGAUGACGAUCGGCCACACUGGGGCUGAGACACGGCCCAGACUCCUACGGGAGGCAGCAGUGGGGAAUAUUGGGCAAUGGGCGCAAGCCUGACCCAGCCAUGCCGCGUGAGUGAUUAAGGCCUUAGGGUUGUAAAGCUCUUUUAGUAGUGAAGAUGAUGACAGUAGCUACAUAAAAAGCCCCGGCUAACUUCGUGCCAGCCGCCGCCGUAA